RNAcentral lists this ribosomal RNA (377 nucleotides) under uncultured bacterium. Its description in RNAcentral is "bacterial SSU rRNA". It matches the Rfam family "Bacterial small subunit ribosomal RNA", at positions 521 to 896 of the family's 1533-position model. The record is from RNAcentral.
UAAGACGAACCGUACGAACGUUAUUCGGAAUCACUGGGCUUAAAGGGUGCGUAGGCGGCGCGGAAAGUUGGGUGUGAAAUCCCUCGGCUCAACCGAGGAACUGCGCUCAAAACUACCGUGCUCGAGGGAGACAGAGGUGAGCGGAACUUAGGGUGGAGCGGUGAAAUGCGUUGAUAUCCUAAGGAACACCGGUGGCGAAAGCGGCUCACUGGGUCUCUUCUGACGCUGAGGCACGAAAGCUAGGGUAGCGAACGGGAUUAGAUACCCCGGUAGUCCUAGCUGUAAACGAUGAGCACUGGGUUGGAGGGUCCUCCAUAGCCUUCCAGCCGUAGCGAAAGUGUUAAGUGCUCCGCCUGGGGAGUAUGGUCGCAAGGCUG